RNAcentral lists this ribosomal RNA (411 nucleotides) under uncultured prokaryote. RNAcentral's name for it is "bacterial SSU rRNA". It matches the Rfam family "Bacterial small subunit ribosomal RNA", at positions 505 to 918 of the family's 1533-position model. The record is from RNAcentral.
GUGCCAGCAGCCGCGGUAAUACGGAGGAUGCAAGCGUUAUCCGGAUUUAUUGGGUUUAAAGGGUGCGUAGGCGGGAUAAUAAGUCAGUGGUGAAAACCUGCAGCUUAACUGUAGAACUGCCAUUGAUACUGUUAUUCUUGAGUGUGGUCAAGGUAGGCGGAAUGUGUAAUGUAGCGGUGAAAUGCUUAGAUAUUACACAGAACACCGAUUGCGAAGGCAGCUUGCUGGGCCAUUACUGACGCUCAUGCACGAAAGCGUGGGGAUCGAACAGGAUUAGAUACCCUGGUAGUCCACGCCGUAAACGAUGAUCACUCGCUGUUGGCGAUACACAGUCAGCGGCUAAGCAAAAGCAUUAAGUGAUCCACCUGGGGAGUACGGCCGCAAGGCUGAAACUUAAAGGAAUUGACGGGG